AUUUGAUGAUGUGGACAUUGUAUCUGUAACUUCUGUAUGCUUCCAAGCUUCGAAGAAUUCCUCCGUAUGCUUCUGUCUAAAAGUCUGGAUCUUGUUUCUUAACU
This is a non-coding RNA of Thalictrum thalictroides, 104 nucleotides long. The record is from the annotation of a GenBank genome assembly. Lineage: Eukaryota; Viridiplantae; Streptophyta; Magnoliopsida; Ranunculales; Ranunculaceae.